This 253-nucleotide ribosomal RNA is filed under the name uncultured bacterium. RNAcentral's name for it is "partial 16S ribosomal RNA". It matches the Rfam family "Bacterial small subunit ribosomal RNA", at positions 524 to 776 of the family's 1533-position model. The record is from RNAcentral.
UACGGGGGGGGCAAGCGUUGUUCGGAAUUACUGGGCGUAAAGGGCUCGUAGGUGGCCAACUAAGUCAGACGUGAAAUCCCUCGGCUUAACCGGGGAACUGCGUCUGAUACUGGAUGGCUUGAAUCCGGGAGAGGGAUGCAGAAUUCCAGGUGUAGCGGUGAAAUGCGUAGAUAUCUGGAGGAAUACCGGUGGCGAAGGCGGCAUCCUGGACCGGCAUUGACGCUGAGGAGCGAAAGCCAGGGGAGCAAACGGG